RNAcentral lists this ribosomal RNA (468 nucleotides) under uncultured bacterium. RNAcentral's name for it is "partial 16S ribosomal RNA". It matches the Rfam family "Bacterial small subunit ribosomal RNA", at positions 28 to 507 of the family's 1533-position model. The record is from RNAcentral.
GACGAACGCUGGCGGCGUGCUUAACACAUGCAAGUCGAACGGAAAGGCCCUGCUUUUGUGGGGUGCUCGAGUGGCGAACGGGUGAGUAACACGUGAGUAACCUGCCCUUGACUUUGGGACAACUUCAGGAAACUGGGGCUAAUACCGGAUAGGAGCUCCUGCUGCAUGGUGGGGGUUGGAAAGUUUCGGCGGUUGGGGAUGGACUCGCGGCUUAUCAGCUUGUUGGUGGGGUAGUGGCUUACCAAGGCUUUGACGGGUAGCCGGCCUGAGAGGGUGACCGGCCACAUUGGGACUGAGAUGCGGCCCAGACUCCUACGGGAGGCAGCGGUGGGGAAUAUUGCACAAUGGGCGGAAGGCUGAUGCAGCAACGCCGCGUGCGGGAUGACGGCCUUCGGGUUGUAAACCGCUUUCGCCUGUGACGAAGCGUGAGUGACGGUAAUGGGUAGAGAAGCACCGGCUAACUACGUG